CCCUUGGGGGGAUUGAAGACCCCGGCCCCGAAUUUUCUUUGGGGGGGGCCGGCCAAGGGGGGAAUUCUUUGGAACGAUUGGGGGCAAAGCCUUGAUUCCAACCCAUGCCCGCGUUGUUGAAAGAAAGCCCCUCCGGGUUGUAAAAGCACUUUUCAGGGGGGGAAAAAAAGCCCUGGUUGGUUUAAUACCCCGUCCCGGAAGGGGCCUUCCCCCCCCAGGAAGAAGGCCCGGGCUAAACUCCGUUCCCAGCAGCCGCGAUAAUACGGAGGGUGCGAGCGUUAAUCGGAAAUUACUGGGCGUAAAGCGCGCGUAGGUGGCUUGAUAAGCCAGUUGUGAAAGCCCCGGGCUCAACCUGGGAACGGCAUCCGGAACUGUCAGGCUAGAGUGCAGGAGAGGAGGGUAGAAUUCCCGGUGUAGCGGUGAAAUGCGUAGAGAUCGGGAGGAAUACCAGUGGCGAAGGCGGCCUUCUGGACUGACACUGACACUGAGGUGCGAAAGCGUGGGUAGCAAACAGGAUUAGAUACCCUGGUAGUCCACGCUGUAAACGAUGUCGACUAGCCGUGGGGUCCUUCGCGGACUAUGUGGCGCAGUUAACGCGAUAAGUCGACCGCCUGGGGAGUACGGCCGCAAGGUUAAAACUCAAAUGAAUUGACGGGGGCCCGCACAAGCGGUGGAGCAUGUGGUUUAAUUCGAUGCAACGCGAAGAACCUUACCUACCCUUGACAUCCUGCGAACCCUUCGGAGACGAAGGGGUGCCUUCGGGAACGCAGAGACAGGUGCUGCAUGGCUGUCGUCAGCUCGUGUUGUGAAAUGUUGGGUUAAGUCCCGUAACGAGCGCAACCCUUGUCCCUAUUUGCCAGCGAUUCGGUCGGGAACUCUAGGGAGACUGCCGGUGACAAACCGGAGGAAGGUGGGGACGACGUCAAGUCAUCAUGGCCCUUACGGGUAGGGCUACACACGUGCUACAAUGGUCAGUACAAAGGGUUGCGAACUUGCGAGAGUGAGCCAAUCCCAGAAAGCUGAUCUCAGUCCGGAUCGGAGUCUGCAACUCGACUCCGUGAAGUCGGAAUCGCUAGUAAUCGUGAAUCAGAAUGUCACGGUGAAUAUGUUUCCGGGCCUCGUACACACUGCCAAUAACACCGUGGACUGAGAGUGUUCUUGAACUCGCUAUAACUCGUCA
RNAcentral lists this ribosomal RNA (1180 nucleotides) under Billgrantia desiderata. RNAcentral describes it as "bacterial SSU rRNA". It matches the Rfam family "Bacterial small subunit ribosomal RNA", at positions 309 to 1445 of the family's 1533-position model. The record is from RNAcentral. Lineage: Bacteria; Pseudomonadati; Pseudomonadota; Gammaproteobacteria; Oceanospirillales; Halomonadaceae.